UGAACUGAACUGAAAUCCAGUUGCAGAGAGGGAAGAGUGAUGAGCAAAGGGGUCAAGACCAGGCUGGUGAAACCCACAGAAACAGAUGACCUGAACAAGCAGGAGCUCAUGGACCCCAGACUGUACAUUGUUUUUUAUCUGUUGAUUUUAUAAGAUAAAAGUACAUUUUAAUUAAGAAUAAAUUAAUGUGCAAAUCUCAGAUUCUUGGGGUGCUAGGAAGGAAAAUUUCCCAUUUUCACCUUUCCUGUCAUCAUUGUUGGGGAAGGAUGACAGUUUUCUCUGAUCUGUAAGGAAGAGCAAGCAGAAAACUUUGCUUGACUGUGUCUCUCUUCUGGGGCUGACUGAUUGCCAGAUGGUCUGUCUCUGUGUGCCUCUCACAGCCUUUGGCACCCUUUCCAGAAGAGUCCCCUGGGGAAUGCUGUGAUGGUGCUGUACAGGGAGCAAAAGGGCACAUCAACAGGUAGAGACCAGAGACGCAGCAGUGAGGGGAUGGAUGGCACAUAGGUGGGCCAGCCAGAGAGAAGCGGAAAAGAGAAAACGAAGGAAAGAAGCCAAGAAGGAAGACAGCUAAAGAAGCUAUGGUGGCAUGAAAAGACAGGAGUGGGGGAGUCUAGGAUGGUGUCCGGUCCCUGGGGCUCCUUCUGUUCUUCUCUGGGGGUGGGUCUCCAUGCACUUUGUUUUCCUUCAUACUGUCUAGGUAUUCCUUUUGAAACAUUCCCUCUUAAUACCUUUGGUCAAGGUAUUUUAUCAUACAAACAGAAAAAAUACCUAAUACAUGUUUUCUUUAUUUUCUUUCUUUUAAAUUUAUUUAUUUAUUUAUUUAUUUAUUUAUAUGUCUGAGCUAGGGACAGACACAGAUAGAAUCAAAGGGAUAGUUCUUGCUCUCCUGGGGCAAGAUUAUAAAGUAAAUAAGUAAAUUGGAUGUACCCUGUUACAUUCCUCUUUAGAACCUCAACCUAUUUCUUAUUUGUAGAAAUGGAAGACAUAAGAUGCUCAGGUUCCAUUGACAAAAUCAGGUGGUGGAAAGGAUGUAAUGGCUAACUGAGAGCUUGAGUGUGGUUUAGAUACUCCUUCAAAGACCUUAUUGUUAUUUUAAGGCUUUGCUUAAAAUUAUGAAGAGAAUGAACUACAUUUCAAAUUGAGUAGAGGCAUUUCCAGUAUUGAAAGUUAAAAUACCCCCCCCCACACACGUAUGUAUGUAUGUAUGUAUGUAUGUAUGUAUGGAUGGAUGGAUGGAUGGAUGGAUGGAUACCUUAGCUACUUAAGAAGUGAGGAAACUAAACCAAGAAGCUUCUUCCCCUUGUGUCAGGUUCUCCAGAGUCCUGUAUACUCAGCUGUCCUGAUUUCCAGUUUCCUGUGGUGUCAGAUGUUUGGCAGAAAAUGUGAGUUCCGUUUUUAGAGACAGCCACUUAGCAGGAAGUUAGAAGACUCCAUUGUGAUGGCUUUGAAACGCUCUUCUUCUGAUCUAUUUCUAGGCGAGUUUCUGUCUUUCUAAUGACAGUGUGACAGUUCUGCUCAGACACUGAGGGCUCUGGCACUGCUAUCUGCUCCCAGAGAUUAUAGCAUCCCACCCAGACCAUGAAGACCAGAGAUCUAACAAGGCUAAAGUGGCUCUCUCCUUUGAAAUGUUUAUGGCGUCUGUUAGGACCAUGGUAUAGUAAUAAGGCUUUCUUAAUGGAGGUCUUUAGGUAUCCAAAUUAAAAGUGGUCAAAUUAAUCAAGCAAUGAUUGAGUGCUCAAAAAUAAGAACCCUAAAACUGAUGAACUAAUAAUGUCAAGGGGCCCUUACUAAUACAGAAACCCUUUACCAGAUCUGCCUUAAUCUCAAAACCUCUCUGGUGUUACAAGAACUAUGUCUUGCACAAGGAUGAUUCCAGGCCACUCCACAUACCUCACCAUUGGAAUGUUUUCCUGGUCUCCUGUGUCUGAAAUUCAGCUGGAAAGAGUGAGGAGAAAAUACUCUUUACAGUCUAGAGGCAACAGAAUGGACUUGUCGGUCAUGAGCUUUACUGGAUCAUCUUCUGAUGUUCACUUUGGAUAUUCUUGCUAAGCACAUUUUUUUUUAGAAACUUUGGAUCAUGGCCUCUCUAAUUAUAAUAAGUUUCAAGGGCCCAUCCUGAUCAGCUUUGGAUACUACUUCUUGUUACCCUGACAUCAUACUAAUUUUAAAAAAGGGGAAAUAUCCUUGUCCUCCUUAGAAUUUGAAAUAAUCUCUGAAAUGAGUGAGAACCUAACAUAAAUGUCCUUUCUGUGGACUUAAAAUGCCAUAUGAAAGGGAGGAAAGUGGACAUAGUGUAGGCCCAUCAAUCGAAGGCAUGUUCCUAGUGGUAAUAGAUUUUAAUUUCUUCUUUAAUUUUUAAAAUUUACUCUGUUGAAAAGUUUUUGGUUACAGCAAUGGGACCUAAGUUAUAUUUCUGGCCAUUGGUAGAGAUAAGUCAUGUAAACUUCCCCCAAAGAAUAUAAAAUCCUGAAGAAAUAUUGUCCCUUACUAUUAAGAGUUAAUGUAAAUGGGCCCUGUCAAACACCUGGAAAGAAAAGCUCCCCUCACAAAGCUAUCUGUUGUCGAAGCUUCAGUUAUACCAGAAGUCACAGUAAGAACACAGUGUAAUUAUUCCUUACUGAGAUCUGUACCCCUGAACCUCAAAAGCUCUUCCAUGGAUGCAAUUGCUUUAAGUCCCUCACUGCCAAGGCUGCCUGCUUUCUGGGUUCUUGUUCAGAAAGUUAACUGUCUUUCCUAUAUUUUCCUUUUUAAAAUGUUGGUCAAAAUCCUGAGCAAAGCAUGCCUUAGGACUUUAGGCUCCAUCUCUCUGUCUGUCUCUGUUCUCUGUCUCAUUCUGUCCCUCCACCCCUCCUUUUAUAUACACAAUGUAGUUUCUCACAGACUUCCUACCUAUGUUGCUAUAAAUAAAAAAGCAUAAUGUUCUCUUUUUUGUUUAGCUAUCCUUUUGGCAGAUACUUAUACCUCCAUCUUGACGGUUCCUUUCUGAUCAUUUUUCUUUAAAUAGAUUAAUUUAAAUGCCAUCUCUCACUCCAUUCUUAUUAAAUUUUUAUAUUGUUUUAAAUUAUUCCUAUUUUUGAGAUGAUAAUUACAUCAUUUCCCCAUUCACUUUCUGCUUUUAAAUUCUUUUAUCUACAAGGCUAAGAAACCAUCAAAGGGAUCCUAUGUUCCCUGGUAACAAUAGUGUAUUAGAAAAAAAAGUGCAAACCCAUCAUGCUCAGUGGGAAAUCACAACUGAUGGUCAUCUUAUGAUACACAGUGUGGAUUCACGAGCAGCAAACACACAUUGCAGCAAGUAGCCUGUGUUCCUUUUGUGCAUGGGCAACUGGCCCUCUUCAGUUAGAAAGUAUUCCUGUAUAAAUAACUCUGCAAGGUAAUAAAUAAGAUGUCCAAAGUAUUGACCAUGAAUGUCAAGCAAUGUAAGUAGAGAAAAAUGUGGCCAGCAACCUCUAAGAGGCAGAGAAUUCUUCAGUGUAUUUUGAAAAUCUUUCAAAUGAAACCACUUAAACAAAACACAUUGUGCAACUCAGUCUAGUAGACAAAUCACAGUUUCUCGCUUAUUUGAAACAUUUUAUAAUGUUGUCAAAUAAAUGAGGUGUGUUACGGGAUGAUGGCUACAGAAGGUAGAUAAUGCAAUCUUGAUUUCAUCGGCAUGCUGAAUGAUUCAAGAGAUACUUCUCAAAUAAAAGUAAUAAGACUACAUUGUAGCUAUAUUUUAAUGUUUCUGGGGUCAGGGAGGGGGAUGGAAAUUCACAUCAUAAAAAUGAGUUCUAUCUUGUGUGUAUAAAAUGUUUGCACCUGAGAAGUUACCCCUGGGAAGAUGAGUUCUCUGGUCUGUGUAAACUGCAGACAGUCUGACCAACAACAGAUUGAAACAGUUCAGUUAGCAAAUGUUUUCAGUAGAAUAGAGGGACAUCUUUUAAAUAGCCAAAGGAAGACAGCUAAGGGUAGAAAAUCUUAUUGUCCUGAAAAGGCAGGCUCUCCAUCUCUCUAUGUUGGGUUUGACAGGGGAAGCAGCAUUCAGAUGGCAUUCAUUACCUGGCUUCUUUGUAGAAGAUACUUGGACUAUUUUCUGUUUCUUUGUCCUCAUAUCUGUCUGCCUUUUGGGGAACUCUAGGAGACACAUGCUUUGAAAUGCCCAAAGAGAAGCAGAAUAACGGUUUUGUUUUUUAAAUAUCAAAGUAAAAAGAUAUAAAAAUUAUUACUCGUAAAGUUGUAAGUAGAUAACCAAUGAAUCUUGGCAAAUUAAGCAUUCUCUUUAGAUACAUGGGAUUAGCACCAUGGUCUAAAGAUCCUCAAAGUAAAAAUUUUCUUAGUUCAAGUCCAAAAUUCUCAGGAGUCCUAGCCUUGGGUUCCCGGAUUUCCCUCGAAUCAGGGGCCAAUGCUGUCUUUUCAUACACUGUUUGGAGCUUCCUGUCUGCCUUGAAUCCCACAAUAGAGGCUGUGAAGCACUGACUGGAACAUAUGUAGUGUCUCAUCUAUCACAAUUUGAGGGAGUUAUGGAAAGCUGUUAAGAUCCCAGUCAUAGAUGACUUUUUUUUAGAGUCUGGGCAGUAUGUAUCUAUAGUUUCAGUAAACGUGACAGCCAGUGAUGACUGUCAGUAACACUCUCAGAUGUCCUCAGGAGUGCUGUGGCAAAGACUUGCUGUUGGAAGUGAAAUAUUCUCCCUCAGAGAUGUCUUAGUCCAUGACUUCCUGUCACAGUCCUCAAUUUUCUGUAUAUCUUCCUGACACCAAUUCAGCUAUUCUGAGGGCCAGGUGUCCUCUUGGAAAAUUCUCUUUAUUUCAUACUUCCCUCUAAAUCUGACUUCACUGAUGAAGGCCUGUUUCCAUUUUAUUUUAGAAGUCUAUUUGUUCACUUUUUUUAUUAUGUAUUUACUAAUUAUUUUAUUUAUUAACUAUUAUUUACUUUUACUUAGAAUAUAAUAUACUUAAAAUAUAGUUAUAUUCUUCUCUCCCCCUUUUGUACUAGUUGCUUUUUGUCAACUUUGACACAAACAUAGACAUAGAUGGGAAGACAGAAACAUACUCGAGAAAAAUGCUUUCAUAGGAUUGGCUUGUAGGCAAGUCUAUGGUGUGUUUUCUUGAUCAAUUAGUGAAGUAGGAGGGCACAUCCCAUUAUGUGCAGUGUCACCCCUUGGAAGGCUGUCCUGGGUAGUAUUAGGAAGCAAGGCAGUUAAGCAGCAUUCUUUCAUGCACUACUUGAGUUCUUGACCUGACUUCCUUCAGUGAUGAACUGUGAUGUGAAGUGCUAGAUCAAACAAACUUUUUCUACUCAGAUUGCUUUUGCUCAUGGUGUUUUGUUACAGCAAUACACUAAAAACCUUAACUAAGAUACCCGACCUUCCAGUCCCCUCCAAGUUAUCUCUCCCACGUCCUCCUUCUGUCUCAAAUGCAUAGCUUUCCCUUUUUGAUUAUUCUCUCUCUCUCUCUCUCUCUCUCUCUCUCUCUCUCUCUCUCUCUCUCUCUCUCUCUCUUCUCUCUCACACACACACACACACACACACACACACACACAGGGAUGGACAGAUGGAUGAAUGGACAGAUGGAAGGGCAGAUGAAUAUAUAAGUACAACACGGUAAGCCCAUUUCUGGUUUUUGUGUGCUUGUGGUUUCAGGGCUGUUUUCUCGGUAUUGAACAACCAAUGAGGGGGCUCAUCCCUGGCAGAGGUUAAUCUCACCACUCUCAGCAGUCAUUAAUAUUCUGUAGUUCUGGGUCUCCGGGCAGGACACCAUGAGAUUUUCCCUUCUCUACAUUAGCACAUCUAUUGAUAUUGCCAAUAUUCUGAUCAUGUUUAUGCAUCUCCUUCUAAAACAGGCAGUCACACAGCAAACUUCCUGGAAAUCUGGUUCUUGCAAUCUUUCUACCCCCUCUUCUACCAUGUUCUCUGAGCCAUAGACGUAGGACCUGCUUUGUAGAUGCUUCCAUUGUGGCUGGGCAUCCCACAAUCAUCUUCGCAUUGUGUUCAGUUGCAGCUUUCUUUAAUAGUCUCCAUCUUCUGUAGAGAGAAGUUUCUCUCUACAGAUGAGGGGUGGCAGUGAGUUUAAGAUUCAGUAUGUAGGUAAGGAAUUAUGUUAGUCUAGCAAAGUGUCUAUAGUAGAUUAUUUUCUAAGUUCCAUGACUUCACUAGCCAUAGCAGGUGUGUAGGUUUCUGGUACCAGCCAUGACUUCCUUCCUGUUGAGUGAGCCUUAAGUCUACUUAGACAGCUGUUGUUUAUCACCAACAUGUUAAUACUACUAUUGGAUCUUUAUAGGUACUUUGCCAUGUCAGUCAUAGUUCUGGUUCAGAGAUGUCACAGCUGGUUAGGAUUACUAAUUACUUUUCUUCCUUGGCAGCUUGUAUAGCACAUUCCAGUAUAUGGAAGUUAGACCUUAGGAAGGAAGCUUUCAGUUUAGGUCUAGCUUGAAUAAUACAAGCCCUGUGCCCUAAGUGUGAAGUGUCUGCAGCACCAAGGGCAACAGCAAUCGUCUGGACUAUUUUGACCAACCACUCAAAAGGAGGUUUCCCACCACUGCCACCACUCAAGAGAGAGAGAGAGAGAGAGAGAGAGAGAGAGAGAGAGAGAGAACCCAUGAGCACAUUCUGUCCCCCAUCUGUUCACAAGUAACACCUGAGACCAUGCCUUAAUGAACCAGUACCCCAAAGGUUAUUGACUGAAUGAGGCUGAAUGAGUUCCUACAACAUGGUAUUAUUGAUUUGCUAGUCUAUGGUUCUUGUGGAGUCUAUUGUCAGCCUAAGUGGCAUAAUUUUGUUUAAUCUCUCUCUCUCUCUCUCUCUCUCUCUUUCUCUCUCUCUCUCUCCAUGCAUUUGUAUGCAGUGUGGUUUCCUAAGGUUUUAUCAAACAAUACUGACAUUAUUUGUCCUUCUUUCUUGCUUCUCCUUCUGUAUUGACUUUUUUCUCUCCUACAAUUUUUCUGUUUCUCUUUUCAUAUCAUCUAUAUUCUGUUAUUUUCCUAUUUUAAGUAUAUUUGGAGGAAGUGAUUUCUUGAGUUCCAGUCUUCUUGUUCAUCUUGAUAAUGUGAGGGGCUGCUUUUUCCUUUCUUUAAGCCAAUGACUAUAUGACGUUCACAUGGACUUAAAGGACUGUACUAACUCAAAUUUUCCCAGAUGGUUUACUUUUCACAUUUCUCUUCUACUUUUUAUCAUCACUACUAUUAUUAUUUUAAGCGUACAUGGGUACAUGUAUGUUUCUCCCCUGUGGUGUGCGUGCUUGUGUGUGUGUGUGUGUGUGUGUGUGUGUGUGUGUGUGUGUGUGCAUGCCAUAAUAUGCAAGUGCAGGUCAGAGGACAAUUCUUGGGAGUUUGCUGUCUCCUUUACUAUGUGAAUUCUUGGAAUCAAACUUGCAUUGUAAGACCUGAUAGCCUACUCCCUUAUCCACUGAGCCAUCUUGCCAUCCCACAAAGGUUUCCUAUCCACCACUGACAUGAGAGUAUGGUUUAACAUGUAGAAUAGCAAUGACAGCAGAGACGACAUGCACACUUUUAUGUUCAGGACCUCUUAUGAACUUCAAGACAACUUCGUGUAGAAGGUAGUAUAAAUUUAGUUUGAUCAUUUAUUUAUUUAUAAAUUUAUUUGUUUAUUUGUUUUUCGAGAUAGGGUUUCUCAGUGGCUUAGGAAGCUGUCCUGGAACUAGCUCUUAUAGAGUAGGCUGGUAUGAAACUCACAGAGAUCCACCUGCCUCUGCCUCCUGAGUGCUGAGAUCAAAGGCAUGUGCAGCCACCAUCCAGCCAGUUUGAUCAUUUUUACUUUACAGAAAAGGUAGGAGGAGAGUGACCUCCUAAGUUACAUGUAUCGAAAUGGGUAGAAGAACAGGGAUGAGGUCUCUGAAUCUUUUAAGCAUUCUACUUAGGGCUAUUGCAUUUCUUGUCUAUGUGAGAAAUCCCAUGAUGCUUAGAUAUAACAACAAAUCAACAUUGACCCUGGUAUGUGAAGGAAAUAAUAUAGGCACUUUAAGAGGUUAUAUCUUAAAGAUAUAACAGAGCCAUGUAUCUUCUUGUUCCUCAUGUAAGUGCCUGAAUUUUCCAAGCUGUUUGGGAUUCACGAGCAAUGAAGCUUUAGAACGAGAUAAACUAAAUGUUUCUUCUGGCAACAUCUUUGAUCUGAUUCAUAUCAGGUUCUAUGUAAUGGAGAGGACAGUCAUAUGUAAUACAUUAAACUGCUUUCAUCAAUGGACAAAGAAAGUCAGAAAAUGCCGACUGAUAUGUUUUAUACUCCACUAUGGCUCCAGCAGCAACAGCCUAGACUGAUGAUGUUUCAAUGCUCAUGGAAUUCAAGAAAUUUUAUUUGCAGAUGAUGAGGAACAGAAGUAAAGCCAAGUUCAGCCACGUUCCGGUUUAGAACUGGAAACAACUGAGAACCCAUUGCUUCAGGAUUCAGAUGAAUCUAGCCGCUUUCAUAGUCUUCCAUUUGCUUGGCAAGAGAAAACUUCCUUUGGCUCAUAGACAUGGUUCUCAAUGCUGCAUUUCUACUUCUAUAAAGGACUCCUAAGAGCCGCACACAUGAAGAAGCAGGUAGAGAAUAUGAAUCAUUUUCUGUUCCUAUUUCAGGAGAAGAUUAUCUCUCUGUUCUUCUUGACCUUGGCAAAGUUGAAUUAAAACUAGGGACUGAGUCUUCAGAAACUUAAAGGACUGAUCCAGUUCACAAACCAAGCAAGUGACAGCCAAGAUUAAAACUCCGCUAUUUUGGGUUGAGAGCUGGAUUCUUGACCUUGUUGCAGGACGAGAGGGUCUGUGGCCCUGAUUCAUCAGCACCAGAGCUGGCUGAACCCUUGAUUGGAGAGACUCAGCACUGCUGCCUCAGCUGAGCAUCUGUGUAAUGUCUUUCAGAAGGAAUCUGAUGUCUGGGAUGUCACGGGAGGAAAAGCUGAGAGUUCAAACUCUGAACAGGGCCUACCUGUCCGAACACACUGCUCGGCCAAUACCCAGCUGAUAAGUAAGGGUACAAUUAUGCUUCUGCAAGAAGUAAAGGUCUAAAAGUACCUUAAAGGAACACGUGAAAGUGCUACCAGAGUUUAAAGGAAGACAAGAACCGGUGGCUGAAAACUCUCAAGGUUCAUCUUAGACUCGGAGGCUGAAGACUGCAGAUCUUCCUGCAUCAGUCUACAUACAAGAACAGGAUUGCUAUUGUGGGGUCCAGUCUGAUUUCCAGAAACUGAGGAGACAUGCUGAGAAGUUAGAAAAAUAUAUUGUACAAUAAAGCACUAUGAAGUAUCAAAAAGUUGUGCUUUAAGACCAACGAGGGAGUUGGAAACAUGAAACAUUAUAGUCCCAAACACGCACCAACGGCUGCAGAGGUGAAGGAGAGAUUACUUUCGCUUGUGCAUGAUACAGUAAAUUUCUUUGGAUGGAAUAUUUAGGUGGACCCAGACAGUUCUUUGGAGCCACAUUAGUGAUUACUCUCUGGAGAGACACAUCUCUCUUGUCUGCCAAGGAAUGAAAAUCCAAACAAUCACAUAGAUCACUUCAAAUGGUGCCAAAUACAUUCCACCAAAUGCUACUGGCAGUAAUUGCAGCAUGUCAUUGGGAGAUGUGAUUUUCUUCCAGCAUCAGACUUUCAUCUUAUCCUGAAUGCCAGGAAACCAAGAAACGAAGGACAUCACUCCAGCAAUAGAGGGUCCUCGCAACCUGCAGCCAUGCUUCUUGACUGUGAAAUGUGUGCAACCACGAAUUAAGAACCAUAUUGUAAUAUAUACUGCCCCGUCGGGGUGUGUCAGCUCCUCCAAAAAUUAGGGAAAGUGAUAAAUAAAGACCACCAUUUUGUACAAAUAGGGUUGAGGUUUCGGACUGAGGGAGGGCAUAACCUGUUGUGGCUUAGGAAUAGGAAUACUCUUUGGGAAGAAUGCGAAGUCUCGGGAGCCGAAGAUGAACCUGAUCUUCAGGAGGCAAGAACACUCCAAAGUCUACCAGUAUUUUUAGAUUCAACUGCAAGACUGCCUUUUAUGCAAACAGGACCAGGAAGUCAUACCAAGGGACAGAGAAAGACCAGGGACAAAGCAGCGUGAAAAACCAAGUUUUUAAAAAGAUAAAAGACUAAUAAGAAGAAGCGGUGGGGAGUCACAGUAUGGCGAGGAAAGGCAGAGCCAUCUAGGAGGGUUGAGACGGGAGGAGGGAGUCUGAAGGGAGGGGGAGAGAGCAGAGAGCGGAGGAGCACGGACGUCAGGAACAAAAGCCCCGGCAGUGGAGUCUGGCAAAGGCAAGAAGAGAGCAUGGGGUGUUUUUGAAUAAUUAUUAAAAUGAGCAUGUGUCUGCGCCAUCCUGUGGGUGUGGCGCUGAGCAGAGUGUAAACUCUAGCGGGGCCGAAGCAAACAUUGCUUUAGCGCCAGCAGCUGCCAGUCUGUGCCUAGGAGUGUGGGGACCAGCGCAGCGGAAAGCAGACCGGCACCAUGGCUUCUUCUCAGGGGAAAAACGAGCUGAAAUUCGCCGACUGGAUGGCAACUCUGCCUGAGAGCAUCCAUAGCAUCCCCCUCACCAAUUUAGCGAUCCCAGGGUCCCAUGAUUCCUUCAGCUUCUACAUUGAUGAAGCCUCUCCUGUAGGCCCUGAGCAGCCAGAAACUGUCCAAAACUUUGUGUCUGUGUUUGGAACUGUAGCCAAGAAGCUGAUGAGGAAAUGGUUAGCCACUCAAACAAUGAGUUUCACUGGUCAGCUAGGAGCUGGAAUCCGCUACUUUGACCUGCGAAUUUCCACAAAGCCCAGAGACCCAGACAAUGAACUGUACUUUGCUCAUGGCUUAUUCAGUGCCAAAGUCAAUGAGGGUCUUGAAGAGAUCAAUGCAUUUCUUACAGACCACCACAAAGAGGUAGUGUUCUUGGACUUCAACCAUUUUUAUGGCAUGCAGAAAUAUCAUCAUGAAAAACUGGUCCAAAUGCUGAAAGACAUCUAUGGAAACAAAAUGUGCCCAGCCAUUUUUGCCCAGGAAGUGAGUCUAAAGUACCUAUGGGAGAAGGACUAUCAAGUAUUGGUCUUCUACCACAGCCCAGUGGCAUUAGAAGUGCCCUUUCUCUGGCCUGGGCAGAUGAUGCCAGCACCCUGGGCAAACACGACAGACCCUGAGAAAUUGAUCCAGUUUCUUCAGGCAUCCAUCACUGAGAGAAGAAAGAAGGGCUCGUUUUUUAUAUCUCAGGUGGUGCUGACACCCAAAGCAAGCACUGUGGUCAAGGGUGUGGCAAGCGGCCUCAGAGAAACAAUCACAGAAAGAGCUCUUCCUGCUAUGAUGCAGUGGGUCCGCACCCAGAAGCCAGGAGAGAGUGGCAUCAAUAUUGUCACUGCUGAUUUUGAAGAACUUGGUGAUUUUAUCAGCACUGUCAUAAAACUCAACUAUGUCUUUGAUGAAGGAGAAGCUGACACUUGAUAUUACUCUUUGGAGCGUCCAUGAGUAAGAUAGAGAAGCCUCAUUGUAUUAGACAUAUUAUCAACACACCCUCUGAUUUUCCUAUUCUACUGAGUCUCUGAAGGAAUUAGGGGUGGUGGUGAGUAGAAAAAGAGGGUAAAUCAUGUCUUCAGUGAUUGUAACCAUAUUCUACAUUACUAUAAAUAUGUCAUUUCCCAUCUGGUGAGCAAACUCUACUUCUAGUGUUAGGAAUAGAAAAGAAUAGUGAAUUUUGUUUUUCAGAAUUAAUGUCUGUGAUAUGUAACUCAUGAGUGUUUUCUUGAUUGCAUUUUCUAAUUUCAGUCUCGGGCUCCUAUACUAUUCAUAGCCUCUACCCUUUCCACUCCCCCUCUCUUGCUCGCUCUAAUUAGAUGCUAUGUGGGUCUCAAAACAAUUGAAUGCCCAACAUAAUGUGUAAUACAUUGUUGUACUGAAAUGUGUUUGUUUUGUGAGACUUGAUAAAAUAUUUCAUAGUCAUCUGCAAUUGGGUGAUCAUAGCUAAUUCUUGCUCAUAGAAAAUAUGCAUCAAAUCCAUUUCCCUGAGUCAGUAAUAUUGGCAGUCAUUAGUGACUUUUGUGUUCUAUGAAAACAAUGGUGUUCCAGAGUAUUUCUGUGUGAGACAGCUAUGACUAUUGCACAAAAACAUCUUUGGAUAGACUAUGAGCAUCAACUCCAUAGAAGAAGAAGAAGAAGAAGAAGAAGAAGAAGAAGAAGAAGAAGAAGAAGAAGAAGAAGAAGAAGAAGAAGAAGAAGACUAUAUACAGAGAUAUCUACUAUCUUAAUUCAGUAGUUUUAAAUAAUAAUGUCCUGCAAAUGUCAAGCUACAAUUGUGUGGUAAUCAGAAGAAAAAUUUUAAAGCUAUAAAAAUUCUCUUAGCAAUUUUAAUAUUUCUUAAAAAAACAAAAGGAAAGAUCAUGAGACUCUCCUAUAAAAUUCCAAUUGCAUAAUUAUAAAACUCAUAUUACAAAACAUUUUAAGAAGCUUUAUUUAUGUUUAUAACUUAGAAAGAAGAAAAAGAAGGAAUGCCAAGGAAGUUAGAAUAAUAUUUUUGAGACUAUAUCCAUAAAUUCUAAAGUUCCUUUACAAAAUCUUACAAUACAUAUGAUUCCUACAGAGUCAUGUACAGUCAGGGUUUCAUCCUAAGCCAGGUGAGAAGGCCAAGGAGCUGAAGUCUCAUGCAAAGUUUCUGUGGCAUCACUUUUGGUAAUCCAAGCAAAACCAUGUUAACACACUUUUGAGUGCUGUAUCAUCCUUGUGUUUUUGUAGCAUUUGACAACUCAAAAAACAAUCUUCAAAGGGCAUAAUUCCCCUCUCUCUAUGUUUCAAAGGAAUAAUGUGAAGUUCCUAAAAUUAUGAAUUAUUUUAUCUUCACACAUAGAAAUAAUCAAACCUCAAUAGUUUCCUGGUGUGAUGCAUUUCAACACAUAUCAGACUCCUGGAAAAAUAAAAGCACAGCCUUGGCUUUCAAUUAAUUAAAAUGAAGGACAUAAGAGUUAAUCCCUUUAACCUAGAUAAAGAGUUGAUUUGAAGUUUACAUUUCAAUAUUAUAAAUAGCCAAGAGUUGACUUAGACAGUAGAUAUUCUUUAUUACAAAACAGCACUUUCUAACAACUACAGAGAGUGAAUAAAAAUUGUCUAUACUGAAUAGAAUGUUCGUGAAAAAUGUGGUCUCUUUUUAGAAUAAGUAACAUGCCUAUGCAUGCAGCAGAUACGUUUAUAAUUCCAGUUUUGUGUGUGUGUGUUGACACACAUACUCUGGUUCAGGCAAGCUGAUACUGAUACAUACAAAUGCACACAGAUUAUAUGAAAACAUAGGAUAAUUGUCGUCAAAUAAAAAUACUGGUAUUAGUAAAUAAUUUAAUUUAAAGAUGAAUCCCGGAGACAGGCAUGAUAGCAAAUGCCCAUAACCCCAGAACUUUGGAGGCAGGAGAGCAGGACCUCUUCAAGAUUAGCCUUGCUAUCCUUUGAGCUCAAGGCUACAUAGUAAGAUCCUAUCUCAAAAAUCUAGCCAAUAAAAUAAACAUAACAUCCUUUAGCAAUGUAUGAGAAUGUUAGAAAACAUUUGAAAAUGCAGUGGUUCAUCAGAAAUAAUAUUUUUGUAAAAACAUCACAGCUUGUGACUUAAUAUUCACAAAAUACACUCUCCUUUUUCAUUUUUCUAUCCUCUAAAUCUAUUAUCUGUCUAUUUCACUUGAUCUUCUUGCGCAAAUGACCUGGAACUCUGUUUAAUCGAUUAUUGACAUUAUGCCCCUUAAAAUUGCUUUUGGAGUCAAUUCCCUCUCUGACUACUCAACUUUGAUGCCUCAUGAGCAUCUAUAGCCAAGCACAGUUUCAAUGACACAAUUAUAUAACUUACAAUAUGACAAAAAAAGAGAUUCUCAAUCUGUUAACAAAAAAAUGAAUGCAAUGUAGAAGUAGCUGUGUUAUAUUUUCUUGAAUUUUGAUGCUUCCCUAUAGUGUUUUGCACAUAGUCAACUUUGUGAAAUUUGCUAUGUGAGUACUGGGAGGAAUAAACAUAUUGAAACAUUAGAAUGAAAUUUCUUAAGUAGGACAGAGGGGGGUUUGUCUUUGUUUUGUAGGUGUUGCCUUUAAUGAUGUGUACACAGAACUUUGUUAGAGAGGAAGUCCUUUGAAUCUGAACUUAUGAUUUCCAUGUGGAUAUACAGUUGGUUCGAAGGUAGAAGGCACUGAGAUAAAUGGACGUGCCUUAACUUGUUAAGAAGAACUAAGACAGAAAUAAGCUAUGAGAGAAAUCACUUAAAGGGAUUUCUGGGAAUGAGGAAUGGAGAUAAGGUACCUUUGGCUGUCUUCUGGUCAUCGGCCCUGCUGUGGAGCACAUGCAUGGAGCAGACUUUCAUAGAGAAAUUAUGAUAUGCAAUCCAAUCAGACCAUUAGCUCUGUUUUGUCAUUACAGAGCAUGGGGCACAAGGGCUACACAUAGACUUCAAGUGUAGCUAUGUCUUAACAUAUUUUAUGUUUUACUGGCAUUUUAAGACACUAUGUUAUAAGUCCUACAAAGCCAAAAACAAAACUAAAAAUCCAAGUUUUACUCAACCCAUGGUAGUAAAUCCAAAGAGUGAGAAGAAUGAGGGAAAAUACUCAAUAAAAUCAUUUUUACAUUUGCUUUCCUGUCAGUUAAUCUGAAAGACCAAUAUAAUGAAUACUUCUGCCAUUACCAUUUAUGUCUCCUUCUUACUACACAGUCAUGUGAGCACAGAGAAUGAGGAGGCAUCCUUCAAAGUUUUAGGAGAUUCUACAUGGUAACCUCAAUGUUCCCUUUCAGCCAUAUUGGAAAACUCACAUUUCACAGAACACCUCUUAACAAAGAGUGUAUCAGAGCAUAAAAAAUAUAUGGCAAGAAACCAGACACACACACACACACACACACACACACACACACUGUUGAAGUUGCACCCAAUCAGCCAAACUGAUUUAUUUUAAUUUUAACUCAAUAUUUUCUAUGUUAUCAGGCUUGAAUAUAGAUCAAGUGUUUGAAUAUUUAAAGAGAGAAAAAUCAUUAUAAAACCAACAAAAUUGAAACCACCAGAAACUAGAUAGACCUGGCAGUAGUGCGCAAUUUAUACUGUCAAUCAACCUCAAGAUACACCAUCUAAUGUGAAUUUGAAUACAAAUGUUUGAACAUGUACACAUCUUCACUCAAAGCUGUUUGAGUCCUCUAAAGUUCUGAGGUGUUUUUUGGCAGUGCCACUUGUCCAGGUUCCUACCUGUUAGAAUUACAGACUAGAGAGUUGGAAGUCUCAGGAGAUGCAUGUUUUUGUUAGUUUUUAGUUCUACCAUUUUACAAAUACUUAGUGACACAAUCUCCUAACUUUUCUUUGGUUUGUCAACCAAAGAAGAGAUGAAUAGGUCAAGUGCUCACAUCCUGAACAGCUAAGAGAAAAUAACAUACAGUGUCUGUCCUUCAGGAGAUGCUAAAUAAGAUCUCUUGAGAAUUUUAUUUUGCUAUAUUUUAGUCUUUUUCACUAGUUUUCAGUGACAUCAUGGUGUGAAUGCUCUAUUUGCUAUAACUUAUUGGUGGCUCCUGUGUAAUGUAUAGUUUAAAAUAAUGUUCCAAAUUGUUUGUUUUCCCAAUGAUGACAAUAAAAUAUUCUGUAGAAUUUGUAAAAAAAAAAAUAAGUGUUAAGUAAAAAUUGUGUAAUUUUUAUUUUACUUGUGAUACAAUUUUGUAGUUGUUAGUUCUGAGCAUACAUUUGUAUAAGUCAAAAUUGUCAGUGUAAUUACAUUGUAUCUUCUUAAAAAUCAAACUUAUCCUAAAGAAAAAGGGCACAUCAUGACUAGCCUUAACGCCUUGUCAUUUUUGCUUUGUUUUAUUUUAGCUUGGUUGAAUUGCUGCAUUUUGGAUUUAAAUUAUUGGCAAAAAACAUAUUUCUUCUGAAGAUGUCACUGAAGCAAUCUUAUGAAGUAUAUGCUUUAGAAAGUUGCUGAGUUAUCACAACUUACUGUCCAGCUUGGUCAUCAGUUAUGCAUUUUGAAAGUGUCAAAUAUCACUUAGUUUAUCAACUUCAUCAUAUCCUACAAAACUAAAUUCACAUUUAUUUCCACCAGCUUCAGAACCAGCAUCAAAAUUCUGACACAGUAUUUUGCAAGGGUAGGUCAUUUCUACUUUAAUGAUUAGUCUCCAAGGAUGGCCAUCUCUUACCCACUGAUUUUGAAUUUCAGAUCAUAUGAAAUAAGAUAGUCUGCUUUUGAUCUAUGAGAAGCACAGAUGAUCCAUUCACAUGAGGUGAUUCCAAUAUGGUUCUCUUCUCAACAAAACCAGUAACAAUGCUCAUCUUUCUCUCUUCCCCAUGUGCAACAGGAAACUCCCAAUCUGUCUACAAAGGUGGUCACGUUGAAGCAAAACUGUAAUCUAUUUUAAGCUUAGACUCUAUUUAUGAACAUUGGUUCCUAAUUUCUUUCACUCUUGGUGUUUCUUUAUAAUGGUUACAGUUGCCAAUUAAAAUGCAGAACAGCAUUGAAAUUCAAAUCUCAAAUAAGUAGUAUGCUAUUGAGUUUCCUAUUAGUUCAUUAAAAAUGCUUAUGCUAAAGUCCUUAUUUACUUAAGGUUCAAUUUUAAGUGAAUAUGUUCUGCAUUACUUCCUUUACGCUGGCAUCACUACACAUAAUUCCUCCAAAUCUUUUUCAGCUGGGCUGCUGUGAGCUCUGAGACCACUCUUCCAUAUCAUAACUCAUAAAAUCUGUAGUUUUGGUCCUUUCAUGAAGAAAAUAUUGUUUCACACUAAGUCCAUAGAUGAGUUUCAAUAAUCAUCCCCAAAGUCAUUUGAAAAAUCAAACUUGUAUCUUCACUAGAUGAAAGCUACUGAAUUCAGUUUUUUUCUAUAAUGGCAUGCUGGAGGACUAGAUUCUACCUAUUAUUUCUGGAAAUAAGUAUUCCCCGGUAAUUGAGACAACAAAAAACAUGACACACAUCAAAACUUCAAUUGGAAAGUGGAACUGCCUUCUAACUCAAGAUCAGAGCUGCUUCUAAGACUCUGUGUGUUUUCCUUUAAAGAGGAAUCCAAUGAGCCCAUCUUCCUACUCCCUAUCAUUAAUACCUUAAAAUUAUUUUAUGAAUUACAAGUAUUCAUUUAUGUAGAAGAUUUAAGGAAAGGAACUCUUCAGGGAGGGAGAAAAGAAUCCAAGGUAAAUACAAUCUAGUCCCGAGGCCUUCUUCCCAUGUUGGAGGAUGAUGCUGGGCAGUAGGCGGGGACAGAAAGAGGUCCCUGAGUAAAGCCUGUGCCAGAUAAAAUUGCUGAAGCAGAUUGUAUUGAGCAGCUGGUUUUCAGAAACUGAAACUGGAAACCCCUGAAUAUGAGACAUGAGGUCUAAAUGUGGUUCUGAAAUCAGCUUCCAAAGGCAAGAACCAUGCUGGAAUUACUAAAUAAUGUCCAGUGUUUCCAACACAGCAUCCUUCAUAGUCUGAACACAGAUGACGUUCUGGAAGAUUCCUGAUAGCUACCUCCUCUCUUGAAAUUCCUAUAAGAAAAAUAGGAAAACUAAAUCCCAUAAUAUGUUUCCAUCACGUGAUUGCUGACUGUACAUAUUUGUGUUGAUUUGCUUCAUUUCUGGAGAAAGAGAAUGUGUAGAGCUGCUGUUUCCUUCAUGGACCCUAGGAAUUCGCCAGAGGGAGUCAGAACUGUGCCUUCUCUUUUUAGGAUCUGUUCACUGAUACUUUACUAUAUGUGCUGUUGUGAAAAUCCAUACUAUAGUCUGUAUAGAAGAUGUGAGUUUUUAUAUAUAUAAAAUUGUGUUCUUAAUGUAAAGAAAAGUUCAUUUGUAGCUAGUGAAAUUGCUUAAUA
Cricetulus griseus (Chinese hamster) is the source of this 17663-nucleotide non-coding RNA. The record is from RefSeq and is a predicted model, not a curated record. Lineage: Eukaryota; Metazoa; Chordata; Mammalia; Rodentia; Cricetidae.